Molecule: ribosomal RNA, 440 nt
Filed under: uncultured bacterium
Lineage: Bacteria
Description: partial 16S ribosomal RNA
Rfam family: Bacterial small subunit ribosomal RNA
Source: RNAcentral
CCUACGGGUGGCAGCAGUGGGGAAUAUUGCACAAUGGGGGAAACCCUGAUGCAGCGACGCCGCGUGAGUGCAGAAGUAAUUCGUUAUGUAAAGCUCUAUCAGCAGGGAAGAAAAUGACGGUACCUGAGUAAGAAGCCCCGGCUAACUACGUGCCAGCAGCCGCGGUAAUACGUAGGGGGCAAGCGUUAUCCGGCUUUACUGGGUGGAAAGGGAGCGUAGACGGCAGUGCAAGUCUGGAGUGAAAGGCGGGGGCUCAACCCCCGGACUGCUCUUGAAACUGUACGGCUGGAGUGCAGGAGAGGUAAGUGGAAUUCCUAGUGUAGCGGUGAAAUGCGUAGAUAUUAGGAGGAACACCAGUGGCGAAGGCGGCUUACUGGACUGUAACUGACGUUGAGGCUCGAAAGCGUGGGGAGCAAACAGGAUUAGAUACCCGAGUAGUC